GACGAACGCUGGCGGCGUGCUUAACACAUGCAAGUCGAACGGAAAGGCCCUGCUUGCAGGGUACUCGAGUGGCGAACGGGUGAGUAACACGUGGGUGAUCUGCCCUGCACUUCGGGAUAAGCCUGGGAAACUGGGUCUAAUACCGGAUAGGAGCCAUUUUUAGUGUGAUGGUUGGAAAGUUUUUUCGGUGUAGGAUGAGCUGGCGGCCUAUCAGCUUGUUGGUGGGGUAAUGGCCUACCAAGGCGGCGACGGGUAGCCGGCCUGAGAGGGUGGACGGCCACAUUGGGACUGAGAGGCGGCCCAGACGCCUACGAGAGGCAGCAGGGGGGAAUAUUGCACAAGGGGCGCAAGCCUGAUGCAGCGGCGCCGCGUGGGGGAUGACGGCCUUCGGGUUGUGAACUCCUUUCGCUAGGAACGAAGCUUUUUGUGACGGUACCUAGAGAAGAAGCACCGGCUAACUACGUG
This 465-nucleotide ribosomal RNA is filed under the name uncultured bacterium. Its description in RNAcentral is "partial 16S ribosomal RNA". It matches the Rfam family "Bacterial small subunit ribosomal RNA", at positions 28 to 507 of the family's 1533-position model. The record is from RNAcentral.